This 269-nucleotide unclassified non-coding RNA is filed under the name plant metagenome. RNAcentral describes it as "partial contains small subunit ribosomal RNA, internal transcribed spacer 1, and 5.8S ribosomal RNA". The record is from RNAcentral.
UUUCCGUAGGUGAACCUGCGGAAGGAUCAUUAAUGAGUUGUCAUGGGGUUCGAUGCUGGCAGCCAAUUUUUGGAUGCAUGUGCCUGCCCUAACAAUCAUCUUCCAAACACCUGUGCACAUUUUUGAGGGAGUCUUGAGUUGGUUGCCGCUCUUGGGUGAUUUUCUCACAUUCCCUUAAAUCAUUAUACGCUAUUAACAAUGUUGAACGUGCUCUGUGCCGCAAGGCUAUUAAUAUAAUACAACUUUUAACAACGGAUCUCUUGGCUCUC